UGCCCCCGCUCACUGGGACUGAGACACUGCCCAGACACCUACGGGUGGCUGCAGUCGAGAAUCUUCGGCAAUGGGCGCAAGCCUGACCGAGCGACGCCGCGUGCGGGAUGAAGGCCUUCGGGUUGUAAACCGCUGUCGAGGGGGAUAAAGUGCAAGUGGGUACUCCCAUUUGUUUGAUAGAUCCCUGGAGGAAGCAUGGGCUAAGUUCGUGCCAGCAGCCGCGGUAAGACGAACCAUGCAAACGUUAUUCGGAUUCACUGGGCUUAAAGCGUGCGUAGGCGGUCUUGUUAGUCAGGUGUGAAAGCCCUCAGCCCAACUGAGGAAUUGCGCUUGAUACUGCAUGACUUGAGAAUGAUAGAGGUGGGUGGAACUGAUGGUGGAGCGGUGAAAUGCGUUGAUAUCAUCAGGAACACCAGUGGCGAAGGCGACCCACUGGGUCAUUUCUGACGCUGAGGUACGAAAGCUAGGGUAGCGAACGGGAUUAGAUACCCCGGUAGUCCUAGCCGUAAACGAUGAGCACUAGAUCGGGGGCCUCCACAGGCUCCUGGUCGUAGCGAAAGUGUUAAGUGCUCCGCCUGGGGAGUAUGGUCGCAAAGGCUGAAACUCAAAGAAAUUGACGGGGGCUCACACAAGCGGUGGGAGGAUGUGGCUUAAUUCGAGGCUACGCGAAGAACCUUAUCCUGGUC
RNAcentral lists this ribosomal RNA (686 nucleotides) under uncultured bacterium. Its description in RNAcentral is "bacterial SSU rRNA". It matches the Rfam family "Bacterial small subunit ribosomal RNA", at positions 301 to 981 of the family's 1533-position model. The record is from RNAcentral.